Molecule: long non-coding RNA, 341 nt
Filed under: Cyanistes caeruleus (blue tit)
Lineage: Eukaryota; Metazoa; Chordata; Aves; Passeriformes; Paridae
Description: lncRNA (ENSCCEG00000018141.1)
Source: RNAcentral
AUCUGCCCUAGAAGAAGGGGAGAGCCACAGGCACAGUGAUGCAGGGACCUGGGAAGAAGGAGCCCCUGGAGAAGCUGUACCAGGAAGUGUUCUAGGUGGGAUCCAGUCUGGAUUGGGAAGUGCUUGGGACCAGCUGUGGUGUGGAUGGGCUGUGCCCUUGGAGAAGGCUGAGGACAUUGUUUGGGACCAGCUUUUCUUCUGGCAGCAGAUGGCGUGAGGUGGGUCCUCAUCUCCUUGGCAUGGGUGGGACAAGAGCUUUUGGGAGAUGGCAGCAGGCACAGGAGCAUCCCGCUCUGGGCAGCUGCUGAGGGGUUGGAUCUGCUGUGGCUGGCUGCAGGCUG